CUUCCAGGGGAUUUCGUGGUUCCUCAUUUGGCUGCGUAGCAAAGCAGAAUGCCUCUUUCCGAUUUCUGCUCCUGAUAGCAUGGCACACAGAUCAAAAGAAGCAGUGCUCCAAAUCACACCAAAACCUUCUGCCUCCAGCUGCGCAAGACCUGUCUGGAAAGUGCGUGAAUCCAGGUUUGCAGCCCAGAGACGACUAGAGGGCACCUCCCUGAGAUUCUGGAAAGGUUUACAAAUUAGACACACCUGUGAUCCUGGGACUUUUUAAGAUGGGGUUAAAUUCCAAUUGCCCUGUGAGAGAGACAGACUGUGAGCUCCGAAGCUUCUCCCAGUUGGGAGACUCGGUUCCUAGAAACAAAUGCCUCAUCCUUGUGUAUAGGACGUGACAGAUGAGCCUGGAGUCUCUCCAGCCAAUCAGAAGCAUAAGUAAGAAUGUCAAACAGAAUAUGGAAGAUGCCUGCUGAGUAGAACAUUGGCUGGAAUGGAGAGAAUCAAGAGAGAGAGCCCGAAAAAGCUGCAUUAACAAGAGAGUCAGCUUGUCCUCUGAAGUUUUGAAGCCAGGCACUGACUUCUCCUCUCUAGCUAUGGAAGUCCUAGCUGGCAUCUUCUUCCAGUACAAGGCUGUUUCGUCUACAGUGAAAACCUGUUGUUUAGGGUGGCCACCUUCAUUAAUAACCUCAGCUAGAUCUUCUGGAGAACUUGCUGCAGCUUCUGCAUCAGCACCUGCUGCUUCCCCUUCCACUUUGAUGUUAUGGAGACGGCUUCUUUCUGUCAAGCUCAUGAACCAUCCUCUGCUAGCUUCAAACUUUCCUUCUGCAGCUUCCUCACCUCUCUCAGCCUUCAUAAAAUUGAAGACAGUUAGGGUCUUGCUCUGGAUCAGGCUUUGGCUUGAGGUAAUGUUUGUGGCUGGUUUGAUCUUCCAUCCAGACAACUAAAACUUUCUCCGUAUCAGCAGUAAGGCUGUUUCACUUUCUUAUCGCUUGUGUGCUCACUGGAGUAGCACUUUCCAUUUCCUUCAAGGACUUUUCCUUUGCACUCACAACAUGGCUAACUGCUUGGCACAAGAGACCUAGCUUUCGGCCUAUCCCAGCUUCAAACGUGCC
This 1100-nucleotide long non-coding RNA is filed under the name Equus caballus (horse). RNAcentral's name for it is "lncRNA (ENSECAG00000046673.1)". The record is from RNAcentral. Lineage: Eukaryota; Metazoa; Chordata; Mammalia; Perissodactyla; Equidae.